RNAcentral lists this ribosomal RNA (329 nucleotides) under uncultured eukaryote. RNAcentral describes it as "partial 18S ribosomal RNA". It matches the Rfam family "Eukaryotic small subunit ribosomal RNA", at positions 1470 to 1796 of the family's 1831-position model. The record is from RNAcentral.
CCCUUAGAUGUUCUGGGCCGCACGCGCGCUACACUGAUGCAUUCAACGAGUCUAAAACCUGCUCUGAUAGGGGUGGGUAAUCUUUUGAAUGUGCAUCGUGAUUGGGAUAGAUGAUUGAAAUUUUUCAUCUUCAACGAGGAAUGCCUAGUAAACGCAAGUCAUCAGCUUGCAUUGAUUACGUCCCUGCCCUUUGUACACACCGCCCGUCGCUCCUACCGAUUGAAUGAUCCGAUGAAUAUCAUGGAUUGAGGAUGCAAGUAGAUUCACCUAUCUUCAUCUUCGAGAAGUGAAGUAAAUCUUAUCAUUUAGAGGAAGGAGAAGUCGUAACA